Molecule: long non-coding RNA, 128 nt
Organism: Penaeus monodon (black tiger shrimp)
Lineage: Eukaryota; Metazoa; Arthropoda; Malacostraca; Decapoda; Penaeidae
Exons: 2
Source: RefSeq, a predicted model, not a curated record
AGAGAGUGGUGGUGGAGACAGUCCCUUGCGGAAGCCGGGCUUCAAGUUAUUUUUUGGGCAAUAAGUGCAUGAGUGUUGUUUUAAUUGCAAUUUCUGUAAUGUCUGCGCGACGCCUUUGAAAAUUAUAC